This 253-nucleotide ribosomal RNA is filed under the name uncultured bacterium. RNAcentral describes it as "partial 16S ribosomal RNA". It matches the Rfam family "Bacterial small subunit ribosomal RNA", at positions 524 to 776 of the family's 1533-position model. The record is from RNAcentral.
UACGUAGGGUGCAAGCGUUAAUCGGAAUUACUGGGCGUAAAGCGUGCGCAGGCGGUGAUGUAAGACAGUUGUGAAAUCCCCGGGCUCAACCUGGGAACUGCAUCUGUGACUGCAUUGCUGGAGUGCGGCAGAGGGGGAUGGAAUUCCGCGUGUAGCAGUGAAAUGCGUAGAUAUGCGGAGGAACACCGAUGGCGAAGGCAAUCCCCUGGGCCUGCACUGACGCUCAUGCACGAAGGCGUGGGGAGCAAACAGG